ACACAGGUGGUCAGGUAGAGAAUACCAAGGCGCUUGAGAGAACUCGGGUGAAGGAACUAGGCAAAAUGGUGCCGUAACUUCGGGAGAAGGCACGCUGACAUGUAGGUGAAGUGAUUUACUCAUGGAGCUGAAGUCAGUCGAAGAUACCAGCUGGCUGCAACUGUUUAUUAAAAACACAGCACUGUGCAAACACGAAAGUGGACGUAUACGGUGUGACGCCUGC
RNAcentral lists this ribosomal RNA (223 nucleotides) under Salmonella enterica subsp. enterica serovar Infantis. RNAcentral's name for it is "partial 23S ribosomal RNA". It matches the Rfam family "Bacterial large subunit ribosomal RNA", at positions 1657 to 1862 of the family's 2925-position model. Lineage: Bacteria; Pseudomonadati; Pseudomonadota; Gammaproteobacteria; Enterobacterales; Enterobacteriaceae. The record is from RNAcentral.